AGCGAACGCUGGCGGCAGGCCUAACACAUGCAAGUCGAACGAAGUCUUCGGACUUAGUGGCGGACGGGUGAGUAACACGUGGGAACGUGCCCUUUGGUACGGAAUAACUCAGGGAAACUUGAGCUAAUACCGUAUGUGCCCUUCGGGGGAAAGAUUUAUCGCCAUUGGAGCGGCCCGCGUCUGAUUAGCUAGUUGGUGAGGUAAAGGCUCACCAAGGCGACGAUCAGUAGCUGGUCUGAGAGGAUGAUCAGCCACAUUUGGACUGAGACACGGCCCAAACUCCUACGGGAGGCAGCAGUGGGGAAUCAUGCGCAAUGGGCGAAAGCCUGACGCAGCCAUGCCGCGUGAAUGAUGAAGGUCUUAGGGUUGUAAAAUUCUUUCACCGGGGACGAUAAUGACGGUACCCGGAGAAGAAGCCCCGGCUAACUUCGUGCCAGCCGCCGCCGUAA
RNAcentral lists this ribosomal RNA (449 nucleotides) under uncultured bacterium. RNAcentral's name for it is "partial 16S ribosomal RNA". It matches the Rfam family "Bacterial small subunit ribosomal RNA", at positions 29 to 523 of the family's 1533-position model. The record is from RNAcentral.